Molecule: long non-coding RNA, 855 nt
Organism: Schistocerca nitens (vagrant locust)
Lineage: Eukaryota; Metazoa; Arthropoda; Insecta; Orthoptera; Acrididae
Exons: 3
Source: RefSeq, a predicted model, not a curated record
CCGAGGCGCCACUAUCUUGCUACUGUCCUGAAAUAGCGUCAUCCGAGACCAGGAAUGCAAUUCUGUUCGAGGUCGGAUCAUGCCCACUUCCAGGAAGUUCCUGUCGGAGUAACGUAAUUGUGCUUCCUUCUCGCCGUGACGCAGCCUCUGUCAAACAGCAGAGAGUGAAGAGACUUCCAUCUCUUGUGAAAAGUGCCUUUGUGCAAACGCUAUCACUAUUGUGUUAACAAGUAUCUACGAACUUGCGUUUUCUAGUGACUGUAGUGAAGCCACAAUGCGGCCAUUCUGAACUUGUAUCACAUCAACACUCAGUAAUCGUGGCUCAUUUAGUGCGUUCUGAUCCACAAGCCCAUGUGUGCAGUUUCAUAGCUACAGCCGAGUCUGAAUCAGCUAUUGCGUAACAUGUAUCACGAUAUUUGGAAGCGAUGUCGUCUUUACUGCGCACAAAAGGGAGGAGAAGCGAAGCAGAGUACUGAAGAGGCCAUGUGUGUUGAACUCUGUAUUUCACGUGAAAUGAAUAAGAUAAGAAGAUCAAUGCCCAGCAAAUCACCACCAGCACUGAAGAAGUGAUGUGAUAUUUUGCAGUAGAGUUAUCUUUCUGAAAUGUGGUUCCUAUACUAUCGCCCCAGCAUGAUAUAUAGUAUUGUAUUAGAAGUAAGGCUGAAGAUUGCUGAUAUUAUGGUACAUAAUUGCAAAUUAUUUUCAGGCUAUGUUUAUUGAAUACAGUAUUAAAUUGAGCAGUUGUGGAAAUUUGUGUGCAGAAAAUCACCACAAAUGAAGAAGACAUAAAAAUCUAUCUGGAUAUAUUUUUCUCAUACACUUAAUGAGAGAACUGGAUCUUUAAUUAAUAACAGC